GACGAACGCUGGCGGCGUGCCUAAUACAUGCAAGUAGAACGCACAGUUUAUACCGUAGCUUGCUACACCAUAGACUGUGAGUUGCGAACGGGUGAGUAACGCGUAGGUAACCUGCCUGGUAGCGGGGGAUAACUAUUGGAAACGAUAGCUAAUACCGCAUAAUAUUAAUUAUUGCAUGAUAAUUAAUUGAAAGGUGCAAUUGCACCACUACCGGAUGGACCUGCGUUGUAUUAGCUAGUAGGUGAGGUAACGGCUCACCUAGGCGACGAUACAUAGCCGACCUGAGAGGGUGAUCGGCCACACUGGGACUGAGACACGGCCCAGACUCCUACGGGAGGCAGCAGUAGGGAAUCUUCGGCAAUAGACGAAAGUCUGACCGAGCAACGCCGCGUGAGUGAAGAAGGUUUUCGGAUCGUAAAGCUCUGUUGUAAGAGAAGAACGGGUGUGAGAGUGGAAAGUUCACACUGUGACGGUAUCUUACCAGAAAGGGACGGCUAACUACGUG
RNAcentral lists this ribosomal RNA (505 nucleotides) under uncultured bacterium. RNAcentral describes it as "partial 16S ribosomal RNA". It matches the Rfam family "Bacterial small subunit ribosomal RNA", at positions 28 to 507 of the family's 1533-position model. The record is from RNAcentral.